AAAAAAAAAAAAAAAAAAAAAAUCUUAAUAAAAGAAAACUAACAACUCCUUUGUUUUAUUCUAUUAAAAAUAAAACAUCUUUUACUGUACGUUCCUAGAGUAAGUGGCAAAGAGCUUGAUGGUUGGCAUCUGAGACCCAAAUUCGAAUCCUAGUUGAUUCACUUUUCCAGAUAAAUUUAUUUUUAAAUGAAAUAAACGAAACAGAUAGCAUGCUAUCUAUCUCUCAAAAACAAUAUAUAUAGCACUCUUUUUUUGUUUUUGUAUUGCAUUGUAGUUGUAGGU
This 282-nucleotide long non-coding RNA is filed under the name Ananas comosus (pineapple). RNAcentral describes it as "long non-coding RNA (ACOM_LNC014115)". The record is from RNAcentral. Lineage: Eukaryota; Viridiplantae; Streptophyta; Magnoliopsida; Poales; Bromeliaceae.